Pelobates cultripes (western spadefoot toad) is the source of this 267-nucleotide non-coding RNA. The record is from the annotation of a GenBank genome assembly. NCBI's taxonomy places the organism in Eukaryota, Metazoa, Chordata, Amphibia, Anura, Pelobatidae.
CAGCACUCUCACCCAUCACACACAGCACUCUCUCACACAUUACACACAGCACUCUCUCACACAUCACACACAGCACUCUCUCACACAUCACACACAGCACUCUCACACCCAUCACACACAGCACUCUCUCACCCAUCACACACAGCACUCUCACCCAUCACACACAGCACUCUCUCACACAUUACACACAGCACUCUCUCACACAGCACUCUCUCACCCAUCACACACAGCACUCUCACACCCAUCACACACAGUACUCUCUCACAC